Molecule: unclassified non-coding RNA, 644 nt
Filed under: Hevea brasiliensis (rubber tree)
Lineage: Eukaryota; Viridiplantae; Streptophyta; Magnoliopsida; Malpighiales; Euphorbiaceae
Source: RNAcentral
GAAGUUGCGGUGUGUCAGUAUGACUCCUUUGCUGGCGCCGGUCGUGCCGGAUGAGUAUAAAAGAGCGGCGGUGUCGGAUUGGAGAAUUGUCGGAGGUGUGAACGGAGUGGGAUCCGUGAUGAGAUGUGAGAAAUAUGUGAUUGAAGUUUCAGCGGAGACAUCGACGGAGACGGAGACAUCGUCGAGGAUGACGACGGGGAGGCGGAGGGGGGCGAUCUUGGGGAAGAGUGCUGAGGUGGUGAUUACGAGGCAUGGUUUGGAAUCUUUGGCUUGUUUUGAGAUUUCGUGCACGGUGUAGAGGGGGUUGACGGUGGUGGCGACUGCGCCAAGGGAGAGGACGGCGAGGAAGGAGACGGGGAGGCGGAGGGAGUUGGGGGCGAAGAGGAGGACAACGUCGUGUUGUUUGACGCCUAGGCGGCGGAGGCCGGAGGCGGCGUCGGAGACGAGGGAUUGGAGCUCGGAGAAGGAGAGGCGGGCGUCGCUGUCGGCGUCGGCGAGGGCGAGGCGGGAAGGGAAGGCGGCAGCGUGGCGGAAGAGGAAGGGGACGGCGGAGAGAUGGGGGUCGGCGGGAAAGGGAAUUGAGGGACGGGGGGAGCGGUAGAUGAAGUCGGAGGUGGAGAAGAAGGAUGACGUCAUCGAUGGAG